CCUACGGGUGGCAGCAGUGAGGAAUAUUGGUCAAUGGACGAGAGUCUGAACCAGCCAAGUAGCGUGAAGGAUGACUGCCCUAUGGGUUGUAAACUUCUUUUAUAUGGGAAUAAAAUGUUCCACGUGUGGGAUUUUGUAUGUACCAUAUGAAUAAGGAUCGGCUAACUCCGUGCCAGCAGCCGCGGUAAUACGGAGGAUCCGAGCGUUAUCCGGAUUUAUUGGGUUUAAAGGGAGCGCAGGUGGAUUGUUAAGUCAGUUGUGAAAGUUUGCGGCUCAACCGUAAAAUUGCAGUUGAAACUGGCAGUCUUGAGUACAGUAGAGGUGGGCGGAAUUCGUGGUGUAGCGGUGAAAUGCUUAGAUAUCACGAAGAACUCCGAUUGCGAAGGCAGUUCACUGGACUGCAACUGACACUGAGGCUCGAAAGUGUGGGUAUCAAACAGGAUUAGAUACCCUUGUAGUC
Molecule: ribosomal RNA, 460 nt
Filed under: uncultured bacterium
Lineage: Bacteria
Description: partial 16S ribosomal RNA
Rfam family: Bacterial small subunit ribosomal RNA
Source: RNAcentral